CCUACGGGAGGCAGCAGUGGGGAAUAUUGGGCAAUGGGCGCAAGCCUGACCCAGCAACGCCGCGUGAAGGAAGAAGGCUUUCGGGUUGUAACUUCUUUUCUCAGGGACGAAGCAAGUGACGGUACCUGAGGAAUAAGCCACGGCUAACUACGUGCCAGCAGCCGCGGUAAUACGGAGGUGGCAAGCGUUAUCCGGAUUUACUGGGUGUAAAGGGCGUGUAGGCGGGACUGCAAGUCAGAUGGGAAAACCACGGGCCCAACCUGUGGCCUGCAUUUGAAACUGGAGUUCUUGAGUACUGGAGAGGCAGACGGAAUGCGUGGUGUAGCGGUGAAAUGCGUAGAUAUUAGGAGGAACACCAGUGGCGAAGGCGGUCUGCUGGACAGCAACUGACGCUGAGGCGCGAAAGCGUGGGGAGCAAACAGGAUUAGAUACCCUUGUAGUC
Molecule: ribosomal RNA, 442 nt
Filed under: uncultured bacterium
Lineage: Bacteria
Description: partial 16S ribosomal RNA
Rfam family: Bacterial small subunit ribosomal RNA
Source: RNAcentral